Molecule: long non-coding RNA, 276 nt
Organism: Carassius gibelio (silver crucian carp)
Lineage: Eukaryota; Metazoa; Chordata; Actinopteri; Cypriniformes; Cyprinidae
Exons: 3
Source: RefSeq, a predicted model, not a curated record
AUUGGAGAAUUGGAUUGGAGUUGGUAGCAAUUAGAGCACUGGCCAUGUGUGAAGAUCUAUCAAAACUCAUUCAGUAGCUGAUAAAUAUGAGGAGAUACAACACUGCACAAACUCCAAAGGUGCCAGAAUGGAAGGAAAAGAAGAGGAGAAACAUCAUCACUGAAUUUGACAGAGCAGACUCACGUCUUUUGGAAAUCCCACAUGCUGUACUCUGGCCAGUUGAUGUAGCACACGACACGUCCUGGCAGCUGUGCAGUGCUGGAAAAAUAGUACUGG